CCUACGGGAGGCAGCAGUGGGGAAUAUUGGACAAUGGGGGCAACCCUGAUCCAGCCAUGCCGCGUGUGUGAAGAAGGCCCUCGGGUUGUAAAGCACUUUCAGUGAGGAAGAACGCCUGGUGGUUAAUACCCAUCAGGAAAGACAUCACUCACAGAAGAAGCACCGGCUAACUCCGUGCCAGCAGCCGCGGUAAUACGGAGGGUGCGAGCGUUAAUCGGAAUUACUGGGCGUAAAGCGCGCGUAGGUGGCUUGAUAAGCCGGUUGUGAAAGCCCCGGGCUCAACCUGGGAACGGCAUCCGGAACUGUCAAGCUAGAGUGCAGGAGAGGAAGGUAGAAUUCCCGGUGUAGCGGUGAAAUGCGUAGAGAUCGGGAGGAAUACCAGUGGCGAAGGCGGCCUUCUGGACUGACACCGACACUGAGGUGCGAAAGCGUGGGUAGCAAACAGGAUUAGAUACCCGAGUAGUC
Molecule: ribosomal RNA, 465 nt
Filed under: Vreelandella stevensii
Lineage: Bacteria; Pseudomonadati; Pseudomonadota; Gammaproteobacteria; Oceanospirillales; Halomonadaceae
Description: partial 16S ribosomal RNA
Rfam family: Bacterial small subunit ribosomal RNA
Source: RNAcentral